GAAGAGUCUGUUUCUGGAGAUUCCUCCCUGGUGAAGUUUUCCCCUGUGAUCCUAGAUGCUUCUGAGGCAGCCUCAAAAUGAUCAGACUUAAGAGAGGAGGAAGAAUGGAAAGAAAGGGAAGAAUCAUCUACAUCUACACAGCCAAAGUGUUUGAAGCAAAGCUGACUUGGAUUAAAUAAAUACAUAUCUAAAAAUUGA
Long non-coding RNA from Lagopus muta (rock ptarmigan), 198 nucleotides. RefSeq lists it as uncharacterized. NCBI's taxonomy places the organism in Eukaryota, Metazoa, Chordata, Aves, Galliformes, Phasianidae. The record is from RefSeq and is a predicted model, not a curated record. The transcript is spliced from 2 exons.